This 255-nucleotide ribosomal RNA is filed under the name uncultured bacterium. Its description in RNAcentral is "partial 16S ribosomal RNA". It matches the Rfam family "Bacterial small subunit ribosomal RNA", at positions 524 to 777 of the family's 1533-position model. The record is from RNAcentral.
UACGAAGGGUGCAAGCGUUACUCGGAAUUACUGGGCGUAAAGCGUGCGUAGGUGGUUUGUUAAGUCUGUUGUGAAAGCCCCGGGCUCAACCUGGGAAUGGCAAUGGAUACUGGCAGGCUAGAGUGCGGUAGAGGGUAGUGGAAUUCCCGGUGUAGCGGUGAAAUGCGUAGAGAUCGGGGAGGAACACCAGUGGCGAAGGCGGCUACCUGGACCAGCACUGACACUGAGGCACGAAAGCGUGGGGAGCAAACAGGG